Non-coding RNA from Oncorhynchus kisutch (coho salmon), 82 nucleotides. The record is from the annotation of a RefSeq genome assembly. Lineage: Eukaryota; Metazoa; Chordata; Actinopteri; Salmoniformes; Salmonidae.
GUUGUCGUGCCGAGUGGUUAAGGCGAUGGACCUAGAAUCCAUUAGGAUCUUCCUGCGCAGGUUCGAAUCCUGCCGCACAACG